AAAUUUAUAAAUCUAAACUCCUCGGCCACUCAGUAUCACUGGAUCUUUAUUCCUAAUCAUGGCUUUGCAACAUGAUCAGGUAAAGCAGGGUUUAGGAGGUAGAGUUCGUCUGAUUUUGUCUGGAGCCGCACCUUUAUCUGCACAUCUGGAAGGUUACUUACUGUGGCGACUUGCUGUCAUGUCCUACGAGGAUAUGAGGAUUUUCAUGUGGGUGACAGGCGUGAGGUUCUUCUUUGUGAUCUUGGGGACACUACAUCAUGUUUUAAAUUAUCAAUCUGGGCUAUGAAGCCAGUUAUUUGACCUGAAGCCUCGCUCUCUUUUUCAUGAAGCUUUUCCUGUAAACUGGAUAGCUCUGCCUUUUUCCCAGCUAAUAUCUUCUCCAGCACAGAUAUUGUUCCCGGCAAUCCCAAAAUUUCUUCUCGCAGUCCAGAGUUCUCAUAGUCUUUAGUUCUCAUUUGUGAUGCCAAAUCAUGUUCAAUAUCUACUUGUUUACUUAGUUCAGCAUUCUCAGCCAAAGCUUAGAUCAUUGCAUGUAGAUUGAUGUAUUGUUAAACCUUCCGCAUCAAGUUGUUUCCAUUGUAGCUGGUGCUUUGGUGCUUUGAAUGAUGUUGCAGCAAAGAAUAUGAUCAAGGAGCAUGGUUUCCAGCCCCUCAAGCUUAUUAGUAUUAUUAUUAUUAUUAUU
Molecule: RNA transcript, 682 nt
Organism: Vigna radiata var. radiata (mung bean)
Lineage: Eukaryota; Viridiplantae; Streptophyta; Magnoliopsida; Fabales; Fabaceae
Exons: 5
Source: RefSeq, a predicted model, not a curated record